GAUGAACGCUGGCGGCGUGCCUAAUACAUGCAAGUCGAGCGAACAGACGCGGAGCUUGCUCCUCUGACGUUAGCGGCGGACGGGUGAGUAACACGUGGAUAACCUACCUAUAAGACUGGUAUCACUUCGGGAAACCGGAGCUAAUACCGGAUAAUAUAUUGAACCGCAUGGUUCAAUAGUGAAAUACGGUUUUGCUGUCACUUAUAGAUGGAUCCGCGCCGCAUUAGCUAGUUGGUAAGGUAACGGCUUACCAAGGCAACGAUGCGUAGCCGACCUGAGAGGGUGAUCGGCCACACGGGAACUGAGACACGGUCCAGACUCCUACGGGAGGCAGCAGUAGGGAAUCGUCCGCAAUGGGCGAAAGCCUGACGGAGCAACGCCGCGUGAGUGAUGAAGGUCUUCGGAGCGUAAAACUCUGUUAUUAGGGAAGAACAAAUGUGUAAGUAACUAUGCACGUCUUGACGGUACCGAAUCAGAAAGCCACGGCUAACUACGUG
RNAcentral lists this ribosomal RNA (497 nucleotides) under uncultured bacterium. RNAcentral describes it as "partial 16S ribosomal RNA". It matches the Rfam family "Bacterial small subunit ribosomal RNA", at positions 28 to 507 of the family's 1533-position model. The record is from RNAcentral.